RNAcentral lists this ribosomal RNA (477 nucleotides) under uncultured anaerobic ammonium-oxidizing bacterium. RNAcentral describes it as "bacterial SSU rRNA". It matches the Rfam family "Bacterial small subunit ribosomal RNA", at positions 365 to 832 of the family's 1533-position model. The record is from RNAcentral.
UUCGCAAUGCCCGAAAGGGUGACGAAGCGACGCCGCGCGGGUGAGGAAGGCCCUCGGGUUGUAAAGCCCUGUCAGGAGUUAAGAAACGUAGAUACGCUAAUAUCGUAUCUAUUUGACAAAGGCUCCAAAGGAAGCCACGGCUAACUCUGUGCCAGCAGCCGCGGUAAUACAGAGGUGGCAAGCGUUGUUCGGAAUUAUUGGGCGUAAAGAGCACGUAGGUGGAUUUGUAAGUCAGAUGUGAAAGCCUUCUGUUCAACGGAAGAAUUGCAUCUGAAACUACAAACCUUGAGUAUAGGAGGGGAGAAUGGAACUUCUGGUGGAGCGGUGAAAUGCGUAGAUAUCAGAAGGAACGCCGGCGGCGAAAGCGAUUCUCUGGCCUAUUACUGACACUCAGUGUGCGAAAGCUAGGGGAGCAAACGGGAUUAGAUACCCCGGUAGUCCUAGUCGUAAACGAUGGGCACUAAGUAGAGGGGUUUU